RNAcentral lists this ribosomal RNA (607 nucleotides) under Pseudoalteromonas sp. S2755. RNAcentral describes it as "partial 23S ribosomal RNA". It matches the Rfam family "Bacterial large subunit ribosomal RNA", at positions 1 to 654 of the family's 2925-position model. Lineage: Bacteria; Pseudomonadati; Pseudomonadota; Gammaproteobacteria; Alteromonadales; Pseudoalteromonadaceae. The record is from RNAcentral.
GUUGUAUGGUUAAGUGACUAAGCGUACACGGUGGAUGCCUUGGCAGUUGGAGGCGAUGAAGGACGUACUAACUUGCGAUAAGCCUAGUCAAGCCAGUAAGAGGCGCUUGAGACUAGGAUUUCCGAAUGGGGAAACCCACCUGCUUGCAGGUAUCGUUAACUGAAUACAUAGGUUAACGAGGCGAACGCGGAGAACUGAAACAUCUAAGUACCCGUAGGAAAAGAAAUCAACCGAGAUUCCGAAAGUAGCGGCGAGCGAAAUCGGACCAGCCCUUAAGCUUUAGUGUAGUUAGUGGAACAUGCUGGAAAGCAUGACGAAACAGGGUGAUAGUCCCGUACACAAAAACUUAUCUAAAGUGAAAUCGAGUAGGUCGGAGCACGUGAAACUUUGACUGAAUAUGGGGGGACCAUCCUCCAAGGCUAAAUACUCCCAACUGACCGAUAGUGAACCAGUACCGUGAGGGAAAGGCGAAAAGAACCCCUGUGAGGGGAGUGAAAUAGAACCUGAAACCGUGUACGUACAAGCAGUAGGAGCCUACUUGUUGGGUGACUGCGUACCUUUUGUAUAAUGGGUCAGCGACUUAUAUUCUGUAGCGAGGUUAACCAUU